GACGAACGCUGGCGGCGUGCUUAACACAUGCAAGUCGAACGGAAAGGCCCUGCUUUUGUGUGGUGCUCGAGUGGCGAACGGGUGAGUAACACGUGAGUAACCUGCCCUUGACUUUGGGAUAACUUCAGGAAACUGGGGCUAAUACCGGAUAGGAGCUCCUGCUGCAUGGUGGGGGUUGGAAAGUUUCGGCGGUUGUGGAUGGACUCGCGGCUUAUCAGCUUGUUUGUGGGGUAGUGGCUUACCAAGGCUUUGACGGGUAGCCGGCCUGAGAGGGUGACCCGGCUCAUUGGGCCUGAGAGACGGCCCAGAAUCCAACGGGAGGCAGCAGGGGGGAGUCUUGCACAAUGGGGCGAAGCCUGAGGCAGAAACGCCGGGUGCGGGAUGACCGCCUUCGGGUUGUAAACCGCUUUCGCCUGUGACGAAGCGUGAGUGACGGUAAUGGGUAAAGAAGCACCGGCUAACUACGUG
RNAcentral lists this ribosomal RNA (468 nucleotides) under uncultured bacterium. RNAcentral's name for it is "partial 16S ribosomal RNA". It matches the Rfam family "Bacterial small subunit ribosomal RNA", at positions 28 to 507 of the family's 1533-position model. The record is from RNAcentral.